GACGAACGCUGGCGGCGUGCCUAAUACAUGCAAGUCGAACGAACUCUGGUUUUUGAUUGACGGUGCUUGCACCUGAUUGAUUAAACAUUUGAGUGAGUGGCGAACUGGUGAGUAACACGUAGGAAACCUGCCCAGAAGCGGGGGAUAACACCUGGAAACAGAUGCUAAUACCGCAUAACAACUUGAACCGCAUGGUUCGAGUUUGAAAGAUGGCUCUGCUAUCACUUCUGGAUGGUCCUGCGGCGUAUUAGCUAGAUGGUGAGGUAACGGCUCACCAUGGCAAUGAUCCGUAGCCGACCCGAGAGGGUAAUCGGCCACAUUGGGACUGAGACACGGCCCAAACUCCUACGGGAGGCAGCAGUAGGGAAUCUUCCACAAUGGACGAAAGUCUGAUGGAGCAACGCCGCGUGAGUGAAGAAGGGUUUCGGCUCGUAAAACUCUGUUGUUAGAGAAGAACAUAUCUGAGAGUAACUGUUCAGGUAUUGACGGUAUCUAACCAGAAAGCCACGGCUAACUACGUGCCAGCCGCCGCCGUAA
This 537-nucleotide ribosomal RNA is filed under the name uncultured bacterium. RNAcentral's name for it is "partial 16S ribosomal RNA". It matches the Rfam family "Bacterial small subunit ribosomal RNA", at positions 28 to 523 of the family's 1533-position model. The record is from RNAcentral.